This 744-nucleotide ribosomal RNA is filed under the name uncultured bacterium. RNAcentral's name for it is "bacterial SSU rRNA". It matches the Rfam family "Bacterial small subunit ribosomal RNA", at positions 8 to 796 of the family's 1533-position model. The record is from RNAcentral.
AGAGUUUGAUCAUGGCUCAGAGCGAACGCUGGCGGCAGGCUUAACACAUGCAAGUCGAGCGGGCGUAGCAAUACGUCAGCGGCAGACGGGUGAGUAACGCGUGGGAACGUACCUUUUGGUUCGGAACAACCCAGGGAAACUUGGGCUAAUACCGGAUAAGCCCUUACGGGGAAAGAUUUAUCGCCGAAAGAUCGGCCCGCGUCUGAUUAGCUAGUUGGUGAGGUAACGGCUCACCAAGGCGACGAUCAGUAGCUGGUCUGAGAGGAUGAUCAGCCACAUUGGGACUGAGACACGGCCCAAACUCCUACGGGAGGCAGCAGUGGGGAAUAUUGGACAAUGGGCGCAAGCCUGAUCCAGCCAUGCCGCGUGAGUGAUGAAGGCCCUAGGGUUGUAAAGCUCUUUUGUGCGGGAAGAUAAUGACGGUACCGCAAGAAUAAGCCCCGGCUAACUUCGUGCCAGCAGCCGCGGUAAUACGAAGGGGGCCAGCGUUGCUCGGAAUCACUGGGCGUAAAGGGUGCGUAGGCGGGUCUUUAAGUCAGGGGUGAAAUCCUGGAGCUCAACUCCAGAACUGCCUUUGAUACUGAAGAUCUUGAGUUCGGGAGAGGUGAGUGGAACUGCGAGUGUAGAGGUGAAAUUCGUAGAUAUUCGCAAGAACACCAGUGGCGAAGGCGGCUCACUGGCCCGAUACUGACGCUGAGGCACGAAAGCGUGGGGAGCAAACAGGAUUAGAUACCCUAGUAGUCC